Molecule: long non-coding RNA, 1701 nt
Filed under: Xyrichtys novacula (pearly razorfish)
Lineage: Eukaryota; Metazoa; Chordata; Actinopteri; Labriformes; Labridae
Source: RNAcentral
CGGUCUUAUCCAGAGAGACUCUCAGGGAGGAGCUCAGUGUCUCGCUCAGAGACAUUUCAUGGCUGUUAAUGGACAGAUUGGCUGUCGUAGGAGUUUGAACUUCUAACCUCAGGCGUGCAAGGAAAGGCCCUCUGAACCUCUAAACUGUCCACUUUUCUCAGAGUAAACACAUGGCUGUGGACAGAGUUGAAGACAUGCCAGAGCAGUAAGAGCAGCACUCAGGAAAACAAUUGGAGAAUAACAGUGUCAGAUGAAGUGGUCUGGUGAAGAACAUCCUGAGUGCUUCAAAGAAAUAUGUUUUUUUUAACUUCUUUUUGCUGCUGGAUCACCAAUUUUAUAACACCCCUAAAAUGAUGACCCUGUUUUUGUCUGUUGGACCGAUAUGUGAGUGUCUAUGCAAAGAUUAUUGAUACAGAAUCAAAUCUAAGAAGAGCAACUAGUGGCAUCUCGCAAUGAUCUGUACUUGGACCCAAGUUAUUUUAGGGCCUGUGUCCACUAUUGGCACUUUAGGGCCCAUGUACACUAUAGACAGUUAUGUAGCCUAUGCUCACUGUAGGCAACUAUUGGGCGUGUGUCCGCUUAAGGUAUUUUAGGGCCUGUGUCCACUAUUGGCAUUUUAGGGUCCGUGUAGAAUAUCUACAAUUUAGGGCCUGUAUCUACUACUGACACUUUAGGGCCUGUGUCCACCAUUGGUGUUCUGGGGCCUGUGUCCACUAUUGGUGUUUUGGGGCCCAUGUCAACUAUUAGUAUUUUAGGGCCUGAGUCUAUUAUUGCCAUUUUAGAGUUUUUGUCUUCUAGUGGCACUUUGGGGCCUAGGUCCACUAUUGACAAUUAAGGGCCUGUGUCCAUUAUAGGCAAUCAAAGAGCCUGUGUUCACUGAUGGCAAUUAUAAGGCCUGUGUCCACUUUUGGUAUUUAAGGGCCAGUGUCCACUGUUGGUGUUUUGGGGCCUAAGUCUUCUAUCGGCAUUUGAGAGUUUUUGUUUUUUAGCAGUAUUUCAGGGCCUGUAUCCACUACUGACACUUUAGGACCUGUACCCACUUAAACGUUUUAGGGCCUAUGUCCACAAUUUGGACAUUGUUUAAAAGAUACUCUUGAAGGGUCUGGUAAUUUGGAAGUUGCUCCAUUUGCAGAUGAUACCAGUUUAUUUUCUUCUGAGGAGGUCAUGAAAUAAUUACUGGAAAAUGAAGAAGCUGAGCUGAUACAGUUUAAAACAGGGUUUGAUUAUCAUUAAAUGUUUAAUUAUGAUUUUUUAUUUUUGGUGAUGAGAUUAACUUCGAAACAAAACAGACAAUUUUGAUAAAAGAUGAACAUAAUUUUUCUUUGCUGUUUCUCAUCAAAAGUCUUAAACUUAAAUCAAAUUUUUGACUUUUGUUUUCCAAAUUAUUCAUAUUUUUUUUAUCUAAGGCUAAAUGUUAUAUUACAAACACUGUCUGUCACAGGACGAUAACCAUAAAGCAGGUAAAAUGUCUGAAUAUUUUCUGAGCGUCCCGCCCUGAUGCGCCUCAGCACGGACAAACAGCGGCGUCUCUUUGAAACGCCAUCUUCAAAGCCCGUCCUGGUCUGCUGAGGUGUGAAAUAUGUGGAACAGCACCACCCACCCACCAGCAGCCCUCUCUCCUUUCUCCACAGCGGAGGGCGGCGCCGAGAUGCCUGCAACCAGAUGUUGGACAGCCCUAACACUGGGGGUCAAAGGUCACGG